CCUACGGGGGGCAGCAGUGAGGAAUAUUGGUCAAUGGGCGGGAGCCUGAACCAGCCAAGCCGCGUGAAGGAAGAAGGCGCCAGGCGUCGUAAACUUCUUUUGUCGGGGAACAAAGGGCGCCACGCGUGGCGUUGUGAGUGUACCCGAAGAAAAAGCAUCGGCUAAAUCCGUGCCAGCAGCCGCGGUAAUACGGAGGAUGCGAGCGUUAGCCGGAUUUAUUGGGUUUAAAGGGUGCGUAGGCGGUCCGGAAAGUCAGUGGUAAAAGCCUGGGGCUCAACCCCGGCGGGGCCGUUGAAACUGUCGGACUAGAGAGGAGUAGAGGUAGGCGGAAUGCGCGGUGUAGCGGUGAAAUGCAUAGAUAUCGCGCAGAACUCCGAUUGCGAAGGCAGCUUACCGGCGUCCGACUGACGCUGAUGCACGAAAGCGUGGGUAUCAAACAGGAUUAGAUACCCCAGUAGUC
RNAcentral lists this ribosomal RNA (460 nucleotides) under uncultured bacterium. RNAcentral's name for it is "partial 16S ribosomal RNA". It matches the Rfam family "Bacterial small subunit ribosomal RNA", at positions 338 to 795 of the family's 1533-position model. The record is from RNAcentral.